CCAGGCUGGGUCACUGUGACUUGUCCCCUGGACUCUGAGGACACAGACACAGAAACAAGAAGCAGCUUGGUGGGUUCGUCAGCUUCAUUUCAGAGGCAGCGAGUCGACAGAGGAGUUUGAUGGUCCGGACUUUACCUGUGAAGCAGCAGCAGAGCAGAGUCCAGACGAGGACGGAGAGUCAGAGAGUUGUGUCCUCAGAGGUUUUUGUACGACGGCUCAGUGAGUGUGUGUCACUGUGGUACACGUGUGGUGCAGGAACCAGACUGGAUGUUGGAAGUGAUGUCCGUCCCACCCUGACGGUGCUGCCCCCCUCCAGCGAGGAGCUGCAGCAGGGGACGGCCUCGCUCAUAUGCCUGGCCAACAAGGGCUUCCCCUCCGACUGGAGUCUGUCCUGGAAGGUGGACGGCAGCAGCGGCGGCGGCGGCGGCUGGGAGGCGAGCAGCAGCCCCGGGGUGCUGGAGAACGACGGCCGCUACAGCUGGAGCAGCACCCUGAGGCUCCCUGCUGAGCAGUGGAGGAAGGUGGGCUCUGUGACCUGCGAGGCCUCCCAGGGCUCCCAGACUCCGCUGUCAGAGACACUGAGGAGAGACCAGUGUCCCCAGUCCUGACCUGGGACUCUGCUGCUGGUCUCCGUCUCUUCGCUGCUCUGUGUCUGAUCCGAAUCAUUCUUCAUCGACUGAUGACUUCUUGCUUUGAAUGAUUCUGGUUCUUUGACCUGUUUCAGAUAAUAAAGAUCUUUGUGUUUGAAUCGAAAA
Non-coding RNA from Hippoglossus stenolepis (Pacific halibut), 755 nucleotides. Lineage: Eukaryota; Metazoa; Chordata; Actinopteri; Pleuronectiformes; Pleuronectidae. The record is from the annotation of a RefSeq genome assembly.